GACGCACGCUGGCCGCGUGCUUAACACAUGCAAGUCGAACGGUAAGGCCCUUCGGGGUACACGAGUGGCGAACGGGUGAGUGACACGUGGGUGAUCUGCCCUCCACUGCGUGAUAAGCUUGGGUAACUGGGUCUAAUACCGGGUAGGACCACUGCCUGCAUGGGUGGUGGAGGAAAGCUUUUGCGGUGUGGGAUGGGCCCACGGCCUAUCUGCUUGUUGGUGGGGUGAUGGCCUACCAAGGCGACGACGGGUCGCCGGCCUGAGAGGGUGACCUCCCACAAGGGGACUGAGAUACGGCCCAGGCUCCUACGGGAGGCAGCAGUGUGGAAUAUUGUACGAUGGGCGCAAGCCUGAUUCAGCGACGCCGCGAGAGGUAUGACGGCCUUCGGGUUGUAAUCCUCUUUCAGCACCGUCGAAGCGCAAGUGACGGUAGGUGCAGAAGAAGGACCGGCCAACUACGUGCCAGCCGCCGCUGUAA
RNAcentral lists this ribosomal RNA (478 nucleotides) under uncultured bacterium. Its description in RNAcentral is "partial 16S ribosomal RNA". It matches the Rfam family "Bacterial small subunit ribosomal RNA", at positions 28 to 523 of the family's 1533-position model. The record is from RNAcentral.